RNA transcript from Temnothorax curvispinosus, 576 nucleotides. It is a transcript of the gene named GDP-Man:Man(3)GlcNAc(2)-PP-Dol alpha-1,2-mannosyltransferase-like, with no coding region annotated. Lineage: Eukaryota; Metazoa; Arthropoda; Insecta; Hymenoptera; Formicidae. The transcript has 2 exons. The record is from RefSeq and is a predicted model, not a curated record.
AGAGAGAGAGAGAGAGAGAGCUAAUCUCCCGCGACAGCGAGGUUAGUUUUCGGUGCGAGGUGCGAGGUUAAUUCCCGCCCGUGAGAGAUUGUCCGCUUGAGGCUUGAGGACCAAAAUUACACGUCAGCAAGCUCGGCGGUUCCACGUGCAGAUCCGCAAGUGGCCGCGAACAUGAUCGCGAUUUUUUACCUCCUAAUGUAAGGGAUAUCGCUCGUUAGCAGCUCGUUAGUGCGAUCCUCUUGCAUGGACACCCAUAAAAAUCUUAUUCGUAAACAUGCAGUUACUAAUACUUGCCCUGCAAGUACUCCUUGUGCUCGUCCUUGUGUUCGUCCUUUUGCCAAUUAUAUUGACAAGAUUGAGAAAGGUUUACUCCAAGAGACGCGAGGAGAGACAACAAACUAGAACGGUCCUCGGGAUCUUUCAUCCAUAUUGCAACGCAGGCGGAGGAGGCGAGAGAGUGCUCUGGGCUGCGGUUCAGGCUAUACAGAAUAAGUAUGUGUCAAAGUAACGUUUUUGAGGCCGUCUAAUAUAAUUACAACUUGUGACCUGUCAAACUUGAGAUACAUCUUUGCAUCG